UACGAGGGGAGCAAGCGUUGUUCGGAUUUACUGGGCGUAAAGCGCACGUAGGCGGAUUGUUAAGUCGGGGGUGAAAUCCUGGAGCUCAACUCCAGAACUGCCUUCGAUACUGGCGAUCUCGAGUCCGGGAGAGGUGAGUGGAACUGCGAGUGUAGAGGUGAAAUUCGUAGAUAUUCGCAAGAACACCAGUGGCGAAGGCGGCUCACUGGCCCGGUACUGACGCUGAGGUGCGAAAGCGUGGGGAGCAAACAGG
RNAcentral lists this ribosomal RNA (253 nucleotides) under uncultured bacterium. RNAcentral describes it as "partial 16S ribosomal RNA". It matches the Rfam family "Bacterial small subunit ribosomal RNA", at positions 524 to 776 of the family's 1533-position model. The record is from RNAcentral.